GUUGUAGUCUAGCUGGUCA
RNAcentral lists this non-coding RNA (19 nucleotides) under Arabidopsis thaliana (thale cress). The record is from RNAcentral. Lineage: Eukaryota; Viridiplantae; Streptophyta; Magnoliopsida; Brassicales; Brassicaceae.